GCUCCUUCAACCAUCUUUCUCGAUGAAAUUGAUGCCAUUAUCAGUCAACGCGGGGAAGCGCGCAGUGAGCAUGAAUCUAGUAGGCGUUUAAAAACAGAACUGCUCAUACAGAUGGACGGUUUGAAUCGGACAGAUGAACUUGUCUUUGUUCUUGCUGCAACAAAUCUUCCCUGGGAACUGGAUGCAGCAAUGCUCCGACGUCUUGAGAAGCGGAUCCUUGUGCCCCUUCCGGAGGCAGAAGCAAGGUGCGGGAUGUUUGAGGAUUUACUACCAUCCCUUCCUGAAGAGGCGCCACUUCCAUAUGAUUUAUUGGUAGAAAAGACAGAAGGCUUUUCCGGUUCUGAUAUUCGGCUAUUAUGCAAGGAGGCUGCCAUGCAACCAUUACGACGUCUAAUGGCAGAACUUGAUAAGAGGGAAGAAUUGGUGCCUGAGGAUGAGUUGCCCAAUGUUGGACCAAUAACUGUGACAGAUAUCGAGGUGGCACUGAAGAACACGAGACCAUCUGCACACCUACAUGCACCUAGGUACGAUAAGUUCAAUUCAGAUUAUGGCAGCCAUGCUCUCCAGUGAAGGCACCCUGUUGUAUCCUCUCAUUUCUGCUGUUGUCCCGUGAUCUAUUCAGCAAUGUGCCAACACAGAUGUUAAGUUUUUAACACCUGUGUUUGUAAAAUGUAUGACUCUGUUGUGUGUUGAGCAAUUUAGCUUUAGUGUGCUCAAUUCUUAUUCAUGUUUUUCUUCUAUGGUUGCAUAAACUAUGUUCUUUCACAACUGGAAACGUCGUUCUUUAUUUCUUUCUUCAGGCUUAUGUUUCUCCUAUAGAAACUCUAUUGUAACGAGCAUUUAGAAAUGUUCGUAUUGUU
This 860-nucleotide unclassified non-coding RNA is filed under the name Hevea brasiliensis (rubber tree). Lineage: Eukaryota; Viridiplantae; Streptophyta; Magnoliopsida; Malpighiales; Euphorbiaceae. The record is from RNAcentral.